RNAcentral lists this ribosomal RNA (253 nucleotides) under uncultured bacterium. RNAcentral describes it as "partial 16S ribosomal RNA". It matches the Rfam family "Bacterial small subunit ribosomal RNA", at positions 524 to 776 of the family's 1533-position model. The record is from RNAcentral.
UACGUAGGGUGCAAGCGUUGUCCGGAAUUAUUGGGCGUAAAGAGCUCGUAGGCGGUCUGUCGCGUCUGGUGUGAAAAUCCAGGGCUUAACCCUGGACCUGCAUCGGGUACGGGCAGACUAGAGUGCGGUAGGGGAGAUCGGAAUUCCUGGUGUAGCGGUGAAAUGCGCAGAUAUCAGGAGGAACACCGGUGGCGAAGGCGGCUUACUGGGUCUCUACUGACGCUGAGGCACGAAAGCCAGGGUAGCAAACGGG